RNAcentral lists this ribosomal RNA (347 nucleotides) under uncultured bacterium. Its description in RNAcentral is "partial 16S ribosomal RNA". It matches the Rfam family "Bacterial small subunit ribosomal RNA", at positions 338 to 684 of the family's 1533-position model. The record is from RNAcentral.
CCUACGGGAGGCAGCAGUGAGGAAUAUUGGUCAAUGGGCGGGCGCCUGAACCAGCCAAGUCGCGUGAGGGACGACGGUCCUAUGGAUUGUAAACCUCUUUAGGGGGAGCAAUGCCGGGCCCGCGUGCCCGGAGGGAGAGUAUCCGCAGAAUAAGCAUCGGCUAACUACGUGCCAGCAGCAGCGGUAAUACGGGGGAUGCAAGCGUUAUCAGGUUUCAUUGGGUUUAACGGGUGGGUCGGCGGAUAUUUAAGUCAGCGUAAAAAUGUCCGAGUGUAAACCGGGCCGGCAGUUGAAGCUGGGGAUCUUGAGUGGGCGAACAGUAUGCGGAAUGCGUGGUGUAGCGGUGA